Molecule: long non-coding RNA, 9137 nt
Organism: Apis mellifera (honey bee)
Lineage: Eukaryota; Metazoa; Arthropoda; Insecta; Hymenoptera; Apidae
Exons: 2
Source: RefSeq, a predicted model, not a curated record
UAUUCAACUUGACUCAAUUGUUUCAAUCUUGCGUUUAUAAAUCAUUAAAAAUUGUAGAAUCUAUUUAUUCCUUUAUUUCAUGAAACAAUAUUUGAUAAAAAUCAAUAUAAUGUAAUUUCAACGAUUCAAUAAUAAAUAUUACAACAUCUAAAACAUAAAUCUUAAAGUAUACAACACACUAAAAUAUAUGAAAAACACCAAUAUAACUGUUCAAAUGCACAAAACUGCUAUAUAACCAUAUUUAACAUCCACCUGCGCCAUAUCGCGAAUCUCGCACGGGCUGUUAUCCACGCGAGUGCACCCGCACAGUGAACAGGCCACGUGAUCGCAACGUCGCAAUUGAAAAAGCAAGAGAAAAUGAAGAUAAGGACGAAGAUUAAAAAAAAAAAAAUAGAAAAAUAAAUAAAAAAAUUAAAGAGUCUAAAAUAAAGAAAAAGAAAAGGAAAAACGCAGCCGCCAGGAGAACGUUGGAACACAGAGUACUAUUAAUCCGUUCUCCCUUGGCUCGGUCGCGUCGCAUGUUUUCAGGUAUAAACUCGUCGGGCGCCGCUCCGCGGAAGAGCGUGUGCACCACGAGAAUGCAUCGACGAGAAACGUGCACCGGCACGCUGCAACUGCAGUGCGGGACUGCGGCGUUGCAUCUGGCGACGGUGGCGUCGGAGGCUUUGCCAGCCGCAGAGGCCUGAAAGCUGUGUGCGAGCGGGAGGUGCUUUUCACAGCGACAGAGAGACAGAAGAACGAACGCGUAUCACGAGGGCCGAGGAAACUGUGGGGAGGGACGAGGAGGGAGAGAAAAGUCCAAAGGAAGAAGACAGACGUAGAGAGCGAACAAAGAAAGAGAAAGGAGAGCCACGUGGUUGCCGGUUCACGUCAACGUCGUCACGCAGAGGAAAGAGAAACACUCCUCCAUUCGUCUCCCUUCACUCCUCUUUUCUUCCCCUUUUUAUCCUUGUUCGGUCUUCCUCUUGUUUCCAUCUCCCUCACACUCGUACGAUCUCUCGCCCGUCUGUCUUUCUCUAGCGACCACGCAGGAGCGCGCACGCCCUCUCUGUCUCGCUUCCAACAAUUUCUUUCCUCGUCUCAUAGUCGUUUUUCUUCCUUUCGCUGAUGUAAUUGUCCGGUUACUCGUCUCUGUCCCACCGUCCACCGGUUUCUGCCGUCGCUUUUUUCAUCAUACUUCUCUUUCUUUCUCAAUCUUUAUUCAUCUCAUUUCAACUUUCAUAAAUUUCUCAUUUCUCUUUCUCUCGAUAUUCUGCUCUUUUUCUCUCUCUCUCUCUCUCUCUUCCUCUCCCUUUCUCUCUUCAUUUCUCUGUCCUUUUUUCCAACGUGUCGUCGUUUCUCUCGCGUAACGCGCGAUCUGGCCCGAAACAAAACUUUUUGACGUUUUUCGCGCACCCACCCUAGGAAUAUGGACAUACGUCAACUACGUGUGUGGGGAAUGCGCCAAGUCCGUAACGGGAGCACGGGAUUGGUGGAACGUCUAGCCAAUCCCAUUGCUAGCCGGCGCCGAAGCGGGGAACAUAGUCAGAGGGAUGCUGCGUGGAAAGCGGUGGUUUGGAGGGGAGGAAAUCCAGCGGGAUGAGGGAAAAGCAGGGAGAGAGCGAUGAAGCGCAGGGCCGUAAGAUAUUGGGGGGGUUUUGCGAUCGAAGAAAAAACGGCUGGCCUCGGAUGGAUCCGGAAGUUGAUUAGGAGACCGUCGAUACUGGAGGAUGUAUUUUUAUCUCGAGUGAAACGUAAAUGGCGUGAAAGUUAUUGAGCGCCGAAUGAAAUUGUCGUUUCUCGAUGGGCAGCUUCGUUAACAAUUAUUAUCAACCGUUCGAGAAUUCUCGAUAGAAUUUUGUCAUUCGUAUUCAUUGCGAUAACAUUAUUUUCGCAAGAUAAAUUUCAUUCCCACUCAUUGGCAAUAAAAAUUGCAUUAUCGUAGUAAAAAAAAAAAAAAAAAUGAUUACUUUUAAGAUAUACAUACAUAUGAAUUUAUGGUAAAUUAGUUUUAGGGAAAAUUGUUUCACGUGAAAAAGAAUUUAGUUCGGUCGUAACGAAGCUUGACGUACGGCACUGGCUAGAAGGAAACGCGUUGGACGCGGGGUCCCGGGGGACCAUGAACAAGCGAACAAAGGAUGCUUUGAAGGGAGAAGAGGAAGACUCGAGGAGAGAGCUUCGCCUCAUUCCCUUUCCCUGAUGGCUGGCAGAGAGGGAUCUCCGCUCAUCUGUUCUUGCCCUGCGGUAGGUAGGUUAGGUGGAUACAUUUGGCUCUCUUUUCAUCUUUCUCUUUCUCACCAUCAAUGCUCCCCUGCCGGUCCAUUCCUCGUGGUGGUGCACUCGGUGCUUCUAACGUAUCCUACGAAAACCGACCCCCACAGGAACCACGAAACAGAAGUAUCCACGCGUUUUCGCGUUUUAGCUCUCUCAAUACACGAUAUUCCUCUCGAUUCUCAUAAACGUUCGUGUUUUCAAUCGGUUCGAUACGAACUCUUUUUCAUCGAAAAAUCAUUAAUUUCCUGAUUUUUUUUUUUGUGCAUUUUAUCUAACAAAAAUAUCUUUUUGAUAAUUUACUCACAAACGUUUCAUUCUCGCGGUAUAAUAUACGAUGUUUUAAAUAAUCUUUUUAAAAGAAGAAAAAAACAUUUCGUGUACAUGUUGUAUUUGAUAUUAUGUUAUGAUUAUUUUCAUCGCGUGUGUAUCUCGUGUUAUAAAGUUCUACGUAAUAACUAUUUCGACGUUUCUUUAGUAGUUAGUUUUCAAAGUUUAAAGAAAAAUUAAAGAAGCGCGAUUAUUGCGUAUGAGGUGUCCGUUACAUCAUAGGAAAAAAAACCCUAGAAAGGCACUAGACGCGCUAGCGACGAUGUAACGUGGCACGAAAAAAAGUUUUAUAGUUAGGCAUAUGUAUACGUAAUACAAUAAUCCACAAGCACGAUGGUAGAGCAUCGUUUUCGAGAAGUCCAGACAGCAUCGCCAUCGCCGCGUCUCUAUAAUAUUCUCGGAGAGAUAUUUCAGAGAGAGGGACUUCGGUGAAGUCUGUCUAACGAUGCUGGAAGACCAGAGAAAGACAGAAAUAUAGGUGCGCGGGCGCACACACGACCAGGCUGCGCGUUGUUCACGUCGAAUAUGCAACAAGAAAGAGAAGGAGGCAAAGAAGAAGAAGAAGAAGAAGAAGAAGAGAACGAGAAUCUCGAUCCUCGUCCAACCAGUUCUUUCAUUUCCUAUCUCUAUCCAUCUCGUUUUAUUCAGCCUUUCUCUAUCUUUCUCAUACUACCUCUCUCACUCGUUUAUUUAUUUUCCUUGUCUCUCUUCAUUUUGCCUCUGUCAUUUCUCUUUGUUCUCUCUCGCUCAACCGGUUUUCUCGAUGUCUCCAUCUUCGUUCAUCGCUAACCACGUUCCCGUUUCCUCUCUAUCUUCAUCGCUCGUCCCGUCUCUCUUACACCGCCAUUCGUGCUUCGAAUACCUUCCUCUCUCCCUAACUCUAUCCCUAUCCUACUCACGUAUCGAACAUCGCUCUUUCUCCGUCCCCAGCCCCAUUCCCUCGACUCCGCCACCAACACACUCGCUCGAUCCGUCCAUUACUCGCUCAUCUCGCUCUCUGUCCUUCCCCCUCUGCGUCUCCUGCCCCGGCUGGCCGUAAUACUUCUCAUCCCUCUCGCUUACUCUGUUAUUUCUCUCCGACCUCCGUGCAUGGCAGAUACGCGCGCGCGCGGCAAUAGCUGGUUUCAGGAGACAGAAAAACGGCGGGCAGGGAGGGAGGAGGAUCGAGGGAGGGAAGGAGGGAGGAGAAGAGUGACAGGAGAGAAGAGAGAGAGAGAGAGAGAGAACCGGGAGUACGAUAUUCUCGAGUCUAAGAUAGGAGGAACGAACGAACAGGCGAGGAGAAAAAGAGACAGAAAGAAAAGAGAGUGGAAGACGCAAAAUCGUGUCCAAGCAUUAACGCUACUCUCUCCCUUCCACUUGCUACUAGCUUCGUCCGUUUCUCACCGAUUCCUCCGUUCUUCUACACGUCGCACCGCUCCGCGCGGCUGCUGCUGCUGCUGCCGCGGCGGCAGAGAGGGAUUUUAAUUUUGCCGGAUAAGUAUUUAUCUCGAAACGCGCGGAGGUUCCGUAAUGGACAAGGUGUAUUUUCGGCGCGAUGUAAAUCAACGGACUUACGGGCAACUAUACGUGCGCGCGCACAUAUAUUCCCAUAAAUCUAUUUAAAUAUAUGGCCGUGCGUGGCGCUCGCGUGCUUCGGGAAGCUGUACAGCGUAGUAGAGCAUUCUAUAUCGUAUACAGCUAUACGAACACAGCUGGUAAACGUGAAUCUGUAGAUACACGUGGGAGCCUCUUCUCGCUUUGACAUCGGGGGAAGCGUGUCUAAAUUGGGAGUUAAAGGUGGGGCAAGCUCCGGAGAGAGAAGAUACACGACGCGGCAGAGGGAAGUUCGAAGAGGCGGGGAAUUAUACCUUCCAUUUCGUUCUUCUCUUCUCGCCGGCGUCCUUACAGAAAGCGCUUCUAAACGCGCGACUACACCCACGCUUGAAAUCUUGGUGUCCCUCGUGUACGUCGAGGACGAACGAAGGACAAAGGGAAGGAAUAGAAAGAAACGAUGAAAAAAUAGACGAGAGGAGGGAAUAUUUUCGCGGAGUAGAACAACGAUGAGGAAGAGCGGAAUGAUAGGGGCCUACGAAUGUUUGUCGAAAGGAAAAAGACGCGAGAGAAGCGGCUGCUGGAAAAACUGUACGGGAGAAGACUGACGCGUGAGAGAGAAAUCGAUGGAGGAAGGAUUAAAGCGAGAACGGGAAUGGAGAACCGGAAGGACGAACGGAGCGCCGGGCAAAAAGUUUGUCCGAAGGAGAGUAGGUGAAGGGAGAGAAAAAAGAGGCGCGUCCGAGAGGGAACAUGUAAAAUUCAGCAAAGUGGCGGAGCAUCGGGAUAAACGGAAGGUCGGAAGACGGAGAGGAAAGAGAGGGAGGACGAGGUGGACGGGAUUAGGGGAACAAUGGAAUCCGAUGAAAAGGGGGAAAAAAGAAAGGGAAAAAGGAAAAAAAAAAAAGAUCAAGAAGAACCUUGCAAAGAGAAUACAAUACGGAGCACCGUACGUACACGAUAGAAAGGAAUGAUGAAAAAUUCGCGGCGACGGAACGAGCGAGUCGCGAUGAAAGAACUGGAGGGAAGGAAAAGAGGAGGGGAUGGCGAGGCCUUCGGCUGUUACGAUUCACCAUGGGACGGACGAUCGGAAUAAGAUCGAGAGGAUUGAUGAUUCCAAUGGACGUGUUCGAAAGACCUUGCGUAGGUCGUGCUGGCUUCGUCCUUUAGCACCUACCAUGCGACUGAGCACCAACUAUCGAUCGAACCAACGAUAUAUACGUGACACGCUCGAACCACCGUGCAUACAUGCACAUACAUACACACGCACACGCACACGCCACGUUCCUGACCCGUACGGACGUUCGUGUGUAGUCGCGUAUAUAUAUGUAUUACACGUAUACGCCGGAUUAUAUAUACAUGUAUAUAUAUAGAUCGAUCGAUUGCUGGCCAUGGAUCGAUACGUGCGCGCGCAACCCACCCUCGUUUGCUCGCUCGCUCGCUCGAGGCUGUACGGUAAGGGUUGCUGCUGCCUAAGGUGUUCUAAGGGAUGGAAGGGGGGUGGUGGUGCCUAUUGGAUUUCUACGGACUUUUUUAUCCUUCUCUCCUGUUUUUCUACUCUCUUUUCUCGAUAUUUCUUCCUUUUUGAAAAACUGUAGACCCGACCCCGGAUAAGGUCUCUCCCUGGAAUGAUUCUAUGUACACGACAAACUCGCUUCGUAUCAAUUAUUAUUUUUAGAAAGAAAUUGCAUCCCAUGGAAAUAACGAUUAUUUGAAAUAUUAUUUGAUCGAGAGGAUUGUGAAGAUAAUUGUGAGAUAAUAGAAAAGAUACAGAAAUUUUUAAGAGUAGAAUGCUCGAUGAAAAACCAGAGAUUCUACAUUAAAUUCUACGAAUAAUUGCAUUAUUUUUGGAAAGCAUUUAUUCCAAAAUUCAACGCGAUAUUCUUUGAAACAUAUUAAAUUGUUCAAUUCUUAUUUUUAAUCGUUUAUAUAUCUAAGAAGAAAAAAAAAAGAAUAAAGUGUUCGUAAACGCAUCAUCUUAAAAUAUUUAUCGAUCCGCUCUUCCAAAACCGGGCAUCGCAUUUUUUCGAAAAAAAAUUCUACGCGCGCAAAAGUUUUUCAUAAUCAGCCCAUUGACGAAGCGCGUAAAGUGUCGACGAUCUACGCUGGCCGACAUAAUUAAAACUUCCAGAAAACAUAAUAACUACACAAUUAAAGCGCGUCCCUCCGACUACUCUCUCUCUUGUCAGGGACAUCGUGGAACAGGGGUGGGGGAGAGGAAGAGAAGGACGGAGAAAAGGGGUCUGAAAAGCGACGGAGACGCGGCGAUCCGUCGGGGGAGAGAAAAAUAGAGAAAGAUAGUGGGGUGUGUGCGCGCAAACGGCGAGGGUGGAAACCGAGAAAAAGAGAUAGGGAUCGAAAUGGAAAGAGAGGGAGGGAGUGAAACGAAAGAGAGAUGGACGAAAAGAGAAGAUUCCAAGCCGAGGGGGGUGGCUGGUGGUCUAUGGUUAGGAGGGGAGAGGAGGAGGAGAAGGGGGGGAUAAAAUGAUGUAAAAAUAACAAAUUGAAACUGCUGGCCAGGAGGGUUGGAUAACGCGGGGAGCGACGAGGACGACGUUCCCCGAUAUUCCCCGAGCCAGACGAGAACGGCCGAUCUAUAUAGUUACCGGUUGAACAGAGACAGGGAUAGCGGGAUGAACGAGACAGCGAGCAGAGAAGGGUGGGCCAAAGGGGUGGCACAAGUACAUUUCAAGCUGGUGGGGAUGCUCGCAGAGCUCCCCUCUUCGGGGGAAAAUAGGGGAGGGUUGUCGUACGUGUUAACUUGGCUACUAUAUAUAUAUAUACAUAUAUAAUAUAUAAUAUAUAUAUAUAUAUAUAUAUACACAUACCACCUGUAUAUACGUACAAUAUAUACGUAUAUAUAUACAUUAUAUACGUGCUCGAAUUAUACACAUACACCAAUAGAACCAGUACAAGUCCGCAAACCGGCACACCCAUACGUAACCCCCUAUAUACGCGCACCCCUUUUCCUCCUCUCCAAACGUCCACCCUCUCUCUCCCUCUCUCUCCGUCCUCGUCCCGCUCCCGGUCUCACGGCGCGAGUGUAUGUGACGCGAGGGGCAAUGCUCCAUCGUGCAACGUGGAAAUUUAGUUCCCUUCGUGUACACACACGUACGUACGGAUGGAAGGGGAUCGGUGCCCGCGGGUGUGUGUGGGGUGCUUUACGACUCGAUCGUAGCGUUAAUGGCACCGCUCGCUCCGCGCCCGUGUGUGUAUGUCUGUGUCUGUGCGUAGGUGGUGGUGCACAUCGGGGGAUGUGUUGGUGGCCGUCAGAGAACGCUUUCGACGUAUACCAUCCACCAGGUACUAGGCCAGCCGACUAUAUUUCGCGCGACCGAGCAGAUUUCACUAAUACGGGCCGCGUGGAAUACGUACGCGGGGAGGACCGCCCUUGCGAUCCACACACGUGGUGGAUAUCGCGAGGAGGGGGGUCGCGCCGAACCCCCUUUUCCUGCCUCCUCCUUCUCCCUCCGCGAUCCACAACGUUCGGGCAGUUUCUUUUUAUCGUCUCUCCGUUACGUUCGUUUAAUUCACGCUUUUCCUGCUGGUCAAGCCUGGUGAUUGCCGUUGAAUCGAGCGUGAACCAGGGAACCGCGUGUAAACGCCUCGUACAAGGAGGGGAGACAUUGCGAUGGGAUUGAUUUCGCGAAAAGAUUCACUGGAACAACUUUUUAUCAUUGUAAUACGAUCGUUAAAAUAAGUUUUUAGCAAGAUGUAUCAUGUAUUAGAGAUUGAAAAUAAUUUGUUCUUUUCUUUUUUAUGUAACAAUAAGUAAAAAAUUCAUAAAUAUUAAUUAAUUCCGUUUUUAUUCUUCAUCGAUUAUGAAAUAACGAUAAUUGAAUUAUAAUUCCUUGUAUACGAAUGUUAAAUCAUAAUGCUAAAUAAUAACAACAUUUUACAGAAUCUUCAUAAAACCACCAUCGAGUUCUCGCUACCUUCUUCUCUUCAAAACUGAUUUUAUUCUUAAUCGCAACACGGGAACGAUCUUACCCUCCUUCCCCAAACCUCCAUCACCUUCCGGAACAAUAUUACCUUCCGCAAUUCCGUAUCGCGUGGAAAGAUUCUCCCGUCAAUCUCUGCAUUACCGCAAAUCGACGAAUAUGUAAAUUUCUACGCAACGUUUGAUUCCAUUUCAUCCCUCCUCCAAAGGUUUCCAAAGGUUUGAAAUGAAAGGGAUCCGUUAUCACGGAUGGAAGAAGAAAGAAGAAUACGAUUCGUAUAUAUAUAUUCAUCGAAACAGGGCUGUCGAAAGCGAGAGGAGAUGUGAAAUGCUGGAAGGGGGGGAAAAAGAAAAAAGAAUUCACGCUCGUCUUUCGAGUUUCAUCGAGCGUCGACAGACACGAUCUCUCGUUAAUUACCCUUUCUCCAUAAUUCUCCAUGCGUUACGUUACCCAUAUUUAUUCGCGGACUCGUGGCGCGACCGUUUAAAACGCGUCGAAUGGAAAGCUCGAAAGCAUCUUGUCUGUGGGAGGAGGGCUCGGUUUUCGAUUCAUCACCGGGCCACUCGGCCUCGAGUGCUCGCGCGGGUGUGUAUCGUUGUUAAUUCUUCCGCGUUAUAUACAGCGUUGAUAAUCGGUUUCGCGAUUCCGCCAACGGGACCGGGAUCUGCUCCAGUUUUCGCCUUUGUUCCGUCCCGACCCGAGAUCGCCCGUUGUUCUAAGCGCGUAUCUUCUCGUGUUGGCGUUUUUUUUUUUUUUCGUGGAUAGGUUAGCGUGAAUGGAUUGAGAGACACAAAGCUGUGCGAAGGGGGUGGUUGUUGUUUCGAAACUGAAGUGCGGGAGGUUGAGCGAUGAGGGAUGCGACUCGUCGAUAUUGAAAGCGACGCUUUCGGAUUGGAAGUUUGAUCGUGAAAAAACACGAGGAAAUAUUCAAAAACGGAAAUCGGGCUGGAAGAUAGCGCGACAGCAGCGCCACGGUGUACGACCUAAUAUCCAUUUUCACAGGAGGAGCAUUAUUUAAAAUAGCCAGACGUCGGAGGCGACGGAGAUAUAUAUUUUUUUUUAAAUAAAAACUCAUUUACUAGA